GACGAACGCUGGCGGCGUGCUUAACACAUGCCAGUCGAACGGAAAGGCCCUGCUUUUGUGGGGUGCUCGAGUGGCGAACGGGUGAGUAACACGUGAGUAACCUGCCCUUGACUUUGGGAUAACUUCAGGAAACUGGGGCUAAUACCGGAUAGGAGCUCCUGCUGCAUGGUGGGGGUUGGAAAGUUUCGGCGGUUGGGGAUGGACUCGCGGCUUACCAGCUUGUUGGUGGGGUAGUGGCUUACCAAGGCUUUGACGGGUAGCCGGCCUGAGAGGGUGACCGGCCACAUUGGGACUGAGAUACGGCCCAGACUCCUACGGGAGGCAGCAGUGGGGAAUAUUGCACAAUGGGCGGAAGCCUGAUGCAGCAACGCCGCGUGCGGGAUGACGGCCUUCGGGUUGUAAACCGCUUUCGCCUGUGACGAAGCGUGAGUGACGGUAAUGGGUAAAGAAGCACCGGCUAACUACGUG
RNAcentral lists this ribosomal RNA (468 nucleotides) under uncultured bacterium. Its description in RNAcentral is "partial 16S ribosomal RNA". It matches the Rfam family "Bacterial small subunit ribosomal RNA", at positions 28 to 507 of the family's 1533-position model. The record is from RNAcentral.